CUCAAACAAUGUGAAUUUGAACCCAUGGAAGGAGAGACCAAGUUCUGUGCCACUUCGUUGGAGUCCUUGUUUGAUUUUGCGCACUAUCUGUUUGGGUCCAAUGCACAAUUCAAAGUUCUGACCACUGUCCAUCUCACAAAUUCAACAGCCCUGCUACAGAACUACACAAUCUCAGAAGUGAAAGUGAUUUCAGUUCCAAAUGUUAUAGGGUGUCACCCCAUGCCUUACCCUUAUGCAGUUUUUUACUGCCACAGUCAGCAUAGUGACACCAAUCUCUAUGAGGUGAUGGUAGAAGGUGAGAAUGGAGGGAGAGUUCAAGCUGCAGCUAUUUGCCACAUGGACACCUCUAAGUGGGACCGGGACCACGUGUCCUUUCGU
This 378-nucleotide long non-coding RNA is filed under the name Glycine max (soybean). RNAcentral describes it as "long non-coding RNA (GMAX_LNC001151)". The record is from RNAcentral. Lineage: Eukaryota; Viridiplantae; Streptophyta; Magnoliopsida; Fabales; Fabaceae.